GGAAAUGGCAUAUCCACUUAUUGCGGGUCAACUGAUCGCCGAGGUCGAUGAAGAUGACGUGUAGAAAUGGCAUUUCCACUUGUUGCAGGUCCACUAAUAAAGAAAUUGCUUUAUAUUUAUUUGAUUCAUGUUUACAUAAACACAAAAGCAAAGCUCUUAAUCAUCACAAUAACAAGAGUAAAACAUGAGCUUAUGAAUAUGAAUAAUAAUUUAUUUUUUAAAUUAUAAGUCUAGGAGUAAAUCUAUAGAAAGACCAUAGAGAACAUGUGUUUCACAUUUUCUCAAUCAAGAGAAACAUUCCAUAUGGGUCAUAAAAAUAGGUAGAUAGUAGAGUAACUAACAAGGUUGCUUAAUGACAAAUCAGGAUUAAAGCAACCAAUACAUGUCUCAUAACUUUAAAUCUUUUCUUCCUAGCAACCAAACAAAUAGUACACAAUCACAACAACUAAAAGAAUAAAAAAAUUAAUACUUUAUCACUUUCUAAACUUUAAUGUUGCUAAGAUAUUCAUCAAUAGAGUAAAAAAGAUUGAACCUUUAUGUUUUCUAUCUGAAAUUCAAGAAACCAGAAAGAAAUCUUAGUGAUAUAUCUACUUGUAAAAAGAUUGAUUUUGAUUUGAGUAAAUUUAUGGCCUUAACCUAAAAAUAAAAACACCUUAAAUUAUUCAUCCAUUGAUAAAUAAGUAAAGCAAGUAUUGGAAUAAAAAGCACUUACCUAAUUGAAUUUUAUUGAUUUCUAAUAAUUUCUAGUGUUUGUUGAUAGGAUUAUAAUAGAGAGAGUUAAGUGUUGUCUGAGUGUGUGUGUGAGUGUGUGUGUGUGCAGAGAGAGGGAGAGAGUUUGUAGGUGAUAGAAAAGAGAGUUUAUUUCUUAAUUAUACAACUGGAAUGGAACAAGGGUGAGAAACCAAAACAUCUCGAUCAGAAUUUGGGUGAGAAAUCCAGAAUGACCCGGGAUCUUGAGCGAGAUAAAAUUUGUUUUACUUUGUUUUAUUUUUAAAAAUUGUACGAGAUACACUAGCCAUUUUGAUCAGAAUAUAAUGGAAUUGACAACCUUGCUCAUAACGAUAAGGUGUGAUAGAUAACAAGAUCUAAAAAUGAUGAGUGAUAUUUGCAACAAAAAAAGUCUUUAUAUAUUUAUUUAUUUUUACAAAAAAGCAAAGUUUCAACUUUACAAGGAAAGAAUCUUUUAAAGAAUAUUACCAUUCCCGGAUUGAUUCUUUAAUAAAAAGUAAAACCUUAUAUUUUAAAAAAAAUAAAAAAACUUCCACUUUUUGUGAGCAUGACCUUUUUAAGGAUUAUAGUUUGUUUGUUUUUUUUUUAAAUUAUUUAUAUUUUCUGAAAGCCACCAAACUUUCAACUUCUCAUGAAUAAAAUCAUUUUAAGGAUUAUAUCAUUCACGAGUUAAUUCUUUAUUUACUUUAAAAAAAAAAAAUAAAGACUCAACUUCUGUAGGACAUAAGCCCUUUAAGAAUUAUACCAUCCUUAAAUCAAUUUUUGGAUCAACAAACAUCACACAAGAAGAAACCAAAGACCCAUGCAAUCACAAUAUUAGGACACAAAACCUCACAUUAAUUAAGGGAUACAUACACACAUUAAAAUUAAUAAUAUAUUAUAAAUUAAUCUAAAUAGAUAAAUCGAUGCAUUAGGGUUGGAAAUUAACCUUUGGGGAGCUGCUAGAGUUGACUAGAAAGCACUGGAAAUUGGCCUGGCAGUGAAAACACAUGGGUUGCACAUGCAGGCAAACAAACUAGAUUAUGAAGCGUCGUUGCAUGUUGCAUGUGUCGGCAAAGUGAGAAGGCUUAUGGGUUAAUAAAUUAUGAGCUCCUUUUCUUCUUCCUUCCUACACACCACCACCAUCAUCACUCGUGGUCGAAGAUUGGGUCAAGGACUCUUUUGGUCUUUCUUCUAUCUCUCGGUUCUAUCUUCCUCUUCGAUGAUGUUUUUAUCAUUACUGCUGUGUGAUGAUGUGAUUCAAUUUUUAUGGUGGCUCGUGGUAGAAUGAGGGCUGUGGAUGGAGAAUCUGUCCAGGUUACCAAUUAGCAAUGCUCCAUUUGGAGUAUUAUGUGGCUAAUUUAAUUUGUAAAUUUGAGUGGAGGGCUGUGGAUGGAGAUGAUGUUGAUUUGUCUGAGAGGACAGAGCGUACAAAUGGUGAUGAAGAAUCCAUUGCGUGUCCGCAUAUCGCCGAGGUAGUCGAGUUUGCCGUGUGGAAAUUGGAAAUGCCAUUUCCACUUAUAAUCUUCGAGGUCGAUGAAUGGG
Molecule: long non-coding RNA, 2253 nt
Filed under: Populus trichocarpa (black cottonwood)
Lineage: Eukaryota; Viridiplantae; Streptophyta; Magnoliopsida; Malpighiales; Salicaceae
Description: long non-coding RNA (PTRI_LNC000329)
Source: RNAcentral